This 775-nucleotide ribosomal RNA is filed under the name uncultured Neocallimastigales. Its description in RNAcentral is "partial large subunit ribosomal RNA". It matches the Rfam family "Eukaryotic large subunit ribosomal RNA", at positions 24 to 620 of the family's 3401-position model. The record is from RNAcentral. Lineage: Eukaryota; Fungi; Neocallimastigomycota; Neocallimastigomycetes; Neocallimastigales.
UAUGUGAUCGUCUCUCGCAUAUCAAUAAGCGGAGGAAAAGAAACUAACAAGGAUUCCCUUAGUAACGGCGAGUGAAGCGGGAAGAGCUCAAAUUUGAAAUCUUCAAGGUUUUACCUUGACGAAUUGUAGUUUAAAGAAGUGUUUUCUGUUGAAGUUUUGGUAAAAGUUCUUUGGAAUAGGACAUCAUAGAGGGUGAGAAUCCCGUAUUUGACCAUUAUUUUCAGCUGUGUGAUACACUUUCAAAGAGUCGGAUUGUUUGGGAAUGCAGUCCAAAAUGGGUGGUAAAUUUCAUCUAAAGCUAAAUAUUGGCGAGAGACCGAUAGCGAACAAGUACCGUGAGGGAAAGACUGAAAAGAACUUUGAAAAGAGAGUUAAACAGUACGUGAAAUUGUCAAAAGGGAAGCGUUUGACACCAGUGUUGUUUUCUCGAAAAUCAAUUAAAAAGAGUUUGAUUUUGUUGUGUAUUGACCUUAACAGCUUGCAUUUCAAUUUUCUUGCUUUUUUUAAUGCACUUUUCGUUUAACAAGUCAACAUCAGUUUCUUUUGUUGUAAAAAGGUCAUUGGAAGGUGGCUUUCUUUUCGGAGAAAGUGUUUAUAGCCUUUGACUCCUGCAAUCGGAGAGACUGAGGUCUGCAGCGUAGAUCCUUCGGGGUUAGAUACAUUUGUGCUAAGUUAUAGCUUUUUAUAGACAACUUGUUGACUAUGAUUAGUCUUGUAGCUUACUCGCUUAUGCUAUUUUACCUACGCUUAGGAUGUUGAAGAUGUAGCACAUCAU